ACGGAGGGUGCUAGCGUUAUCCGGAUUCACUGGGUUUAAAGGGUGCGUAGGCGGGUAAGUAAGUCAGUCGUGAAAUCUCUCGGCUCAACCGAGAAACGUCGGCUGAUACUGCCGUUCUUGAGGGAUGCAGAGGAGACUGGAAUUCCCGGUGUAGCGGUGAAAUGUGUAGAGAUCGGGAGGAACACCGGUGGCGAAGGCGGGUCUCUGGGCAUUUCCUGACGCUGAGGCGCGAAAGCGUGGGGAGCAAACGGGA
Molecule: ribosomal RNA, 253 nt
Filed under: uncultured prokaryote
Description: partial 16S ribosomal RNA
Rfam family: Bacterial small subunit ribosomal RNA
Source: RNAcentral